CUGAAGAGAACACUAAGGGUGUGGCUGGACAGUCAUUUGAUAAGGAGAUCAGGUGUGAGUCAUAAACUUGAUCAGCCAUCUCAGCAGAAGCUAGGAAUAGAGAUGGGCUUAUACCAACAGAAUCACUGCCAGAUAAGACUAAAAAGGACAGAAAAAAAUGAGAUGAAAGAAAGGAAGACCAUCAGACUUUUUAUAGAAGCAGAACCAUAGAGUUCUUCAGCUGUGAACAUGCACUAUUCUUUCAGAAAGGGAAGAAUGACUCUGAAGCUUCUUCAUGGAUCUAAAAGGAGAUUCAUCUUUAUUCUGAACAUGGUUUCCCUGCUGAGUCACUCUCAGGCUCUCCUUAACCUUCAAAUCACGAAGAUUUGUACUGUUUGCUUGGAAGGAAUUUUAACAGGAGUGAUGAAAUUAAGAAGAUGACUUGAUAAAAUUCACUGAGAAUCUUAGAUGUUCAGGACCAGUUGAGAGACACAAGAAGCUGAAAGGCAGAGAUGAAAAAAAUAUCUGUUUAGCCUGGCUGGUGUGGCUUAGCAAUUGAGCAUCGACCCAGGAAUGAAGAGGUCCUGGUUCAAUUUCUGGUCAGGACACAUGCCUGGGUUGCAGGCUC
Long non-coding RNA from Pipistrellus kuhlii (Kuhl's pipistrelle), 607 nucleotides. RefSeq lists it as uncharacterized. NCBI's taxonomy places the organism in Eukaryota, Metazoa, Chordata, Mammalia, Chiroptera, Vespertilionidae. The record is from RefSeq and is a predicted model, not a curated record. The transcript has 4 exons.